CGUGUAUGCGCUCACGCGUCCCGGAAGUGGAGGUGAAGCUGCUGGAAGAGUUUGGAAACAAACUGGCGAUCAGAUCAGAUGAGUGUCAGUCCUCUGGCAGACAGACUGAUUGUUGACGGCUCAGUGAUGAUGAUGAUGAUGAUGAAGAGUGCGAUGAUCUUCAUCCUGACGGCGUCAGAGAGCAGCGCGAGGAUCCACCAGCUCAAACUCAAGAAUGAGACGCGGUUUCUGGUCCAUUUGAACUCGUUUGGUUAUUUUGCAGAUGGCACUCUGGAGCUCCAUCUCGUGUCUCUGAAGCUGCCGCAGGAGAAGAGUGGCUCCGGGAAGUUCCGUCUCACGAUGAGCGCAAGCUUGCAGGGCCUCUACAACCUGGACUUCCACAACUGCCUCAAGGCCAAGACGCUGAGUCCGUAUUCUCUCCACGUAAGUGCUGCAGAACGCCUCAGAGCCACGUGUCACGUGAUCAGCAUAGGCCUGGGCAAUA
RNAcentral lists this long non-coding RNA (484 nucleotides) under Sinocyclocheilus anshuiensis. RNAcentral's name for it is "lncRNA (ENSSANG00000013317.1)". The record is from RNAcentral. Lineage: Eukaryota; Metazoa; Chordata; Actinopteri; Cypriniformes; Cyprinidae.